UGGGGAAUAUUGCACAAUGGGGGAAACCCUGAUGCAGCGACGCCGCGUGAGCGAAGAAGGUUUUCGAAUCGUAAAGCUCUGUCCUAUGAGAAGAUAAUGACGGUAUCAUAGGAGGAAGCCCCGGCUAACUACGUGCCAGCAGCCGCGGUAAUACGUAGGGGGCAAGCGUUGUCCGGAAUCACUGGGCGUAAAGGGUUCGCAGGCGGAAAUGCAAGUCAGUUGUGAAAGGCAGAGGCUCAACCUCUGUAAGCAAUUGAAACUGUAUUUCUUGAGAUGUGGAGAGGCAAGUGGAAUUCCUAGUGUAGCGGUGAAAUGCGUAGAUAUUAGGAAGAAUACCGGUGGCGAAGGCGACUUGCUGGACACAAACUGACGCUGAGGAACGAAAGCGUGGGUAGCAAACAGG
Molecule: ribosomal RNA, 403 nt
Filed under: Verrucomicrobiota bacterium
Lineage: Bacteria; Pseudomonadati; Verrucomicrobiota
Description: Verrucomicrobia bacterium partial 16S ribosomal RNA
Rfam family: Bacterial small subunit ribosomal RNA
Source: RNAcentral